AACGAACGCUGGCGGCAUGCCUAACACAUGCAAGUCGAACGACACCUUCGUAACUAGUUGCGCACGCGUGCGUAACGCGGGGGAACCUGCCCGUAUAUUCGGAAUACCUCCCCGUAAGGGGGGCUAAUACCGGAUAAUGUCUUCUGACCAAAGAUAUGUCGCCCUGGGAUGGGCGCGCGUUGGUUUAGCUUGUUGGUAGUGUAAGAGCCUACCACGGCUAGGUUCCAUAGCUGGGCAGAGAGGAAGGGCCGCCACACUGGGACUGAGACACGGUCCGGACUCCUACGGGAGGCGGCAGUGGGGGAUAUAGGAAAACGGGCGAAAGCAUGAACCAGCUAGGCCGCGUGAGUGAUGAAGGCCUUAGGGUUGUAAAGCUCUUUUAUCCGGGAUGAUAAUGACAGUACCGGGAGAAUAAGCACCGGCUAACUCCGUG
Molecule: ribosomal RNA, 433 nt
Filed under: uncultured bacterium
Lineage: Bacteria
Description: partial 16S ribosomal RNA
Rfam family: Bacterial small subunit ribosomal RNA
Source: RNAcentral